UAUUGAACUUAUCAAAAUAGUGCUACAUGCUUAACUUUCCUGGACAUUAUAUGAUAGAGGCUUGUGUUUAAUGUGUUUUUGUUUGUGAUGAUUAUACCCUAUGAAAUGAUUAAAGAACUGGCUUUUAUAUGAUAAUAUGAAUUUAUAGUCCAACCAAAAUUUCAUUUAACGCACCUUUAAUGCCUUUUCUCGAUGUCGAUGGAGGUAAACGCCAGUGUCAAUGAGCCCUAACAAGCGUUAAAGAUUCUUAACGAUUCAAGAAACCCUUGAUAAGAGGUUGAUUAUCAGGAUGGCAGGCCAGUAUAAGUAGUUGUUUACUACUGGCCUUUGGCUAUUUAUGUGAAAGACAGGUAGAGAGACAGUGUGUCCUACUGUCCUAGAAAGUUUGGAAAAGAGUAAAGUGAAUUUUUGUGUGUAAGUAUUUUCUUUCUUUCUUUCUUUCUUUCUUUCUUUCUUUCUUUCUUUCUUUCUUUCUUUCUUAUUCUUUUCUUGACAGGCAUUUCUGUGCGUGGCUUGUGUGUGAGUGAGUGCUUGUAUAGGAGCCUUCGGGGAGUUGAAGACUCUUGGGUUAAAAUGUAUUUCCAAUCCACCGGGCUUAGAGCAGGAAACAAAAGCGGAAUUGCAGUCACCCAUGAAACAAAACAGACACUUUCUUUCUCUCUCUCCAUUCCCCCACCUUGCUGCUAUUUGUUAGAGACAGUGAGCCAUUGCCUAGCCUGAGAUUAGAGUGCAUUGGUUCAGUAAAUGUAAAUGGUUCUACCGGUCAAUUCAACAAGUGCUGAAAGAAUCAGUCACUGAGAGAUGAUUUGAAUUUUUGACACUUUAGAAGGACACCCCAUUCAUAUGACACAUUUAAAAUUGUAUUCCAGAACCAUUUGCAUUGUUGUCCUUGGAAGCAAAUAACUGAAAAAAAAAACCCAAAACCCAAACUCUAAAACAUUUGUCUAUGUGUCUACCACAAGUUAAGAACAAGCUGGGCAAGCACUCUGAAGAGCUUUAAACAGUACAAGCAAUCAGUAUAGCUAGAAAUGUAGUUAGCAUAUUAAACUACUCUUGUCUGUCUGACAAAAAGUAUGUGUAAAAAUCCCGCACAAGUUAUUAAUCUUUGUAAAUAGUUAAAAAUACAGUUGUGCCUUCAUAAAUGGCUGUAUUUGGAUGGCUAUUGUAGAU
Astatotilapia calliptera (eastern happy) is the source of this 1170-nucleotide long non-coding RNA. NCBI's taxonomy places the organism in Eukaryota, Metazoa, Chordata, Actinopteri, Cichliformes, Cichlidae. The record is from Ensembl.